This 468-nucleotide ribosomal RNA is filed under the name uncultured bacterium. RNAcentral's name for it is "partial 16S ribosomal RNA". It matches the Rfam family "Bacterial small subunit ribosomal RNA", at positions 28 to 507 of the family's 1533-position model. The record is from RNAcentral.
GACGAACGCUGGCGGCGUGCUUAACACAUGCAAGUCGAACGGAAAGGCCCUGCUUUUGUGGGGUGCUCGAGUGGCGAACGGGUGAGUAACACGUGAGUAACCUGCCCUAGACUUUGGGAUAACUUCAGGAAACUGGGGCUAAUAUCGGAUAGGAGCUCCUGUUGCAUGGUGGGGGUUGGAAAGUUUCGGCGGUUGGGGAUGGACUCGCGGCUUAUCAGCUUGUUGGUGGGGUAGUGGCUUACCAAGGCUUAGACGGGUAGCCGGCCUGAGAGGGUGACCGGCGACAAUGGGACUGAGAGACGGACCAGACGCCUACGGUGGACAACAGUGGGAAAUAUUGCACAAUGGGAGGAAGCCUGAUGCAGCAACCUCGCGUGCGUGAUGACGGCCUUCGGGUUGAAAACCGCUUUCGCCUGUGACGAAGCGUGAGUGACGGUAAUGAGUAAAGAAGCACCGGCUAACUACGUG